This is a non-coding RNA of Glycine soja, 119 nucleotides long. Lineage: Eukaryota; Viridiplantae; Streptophyta; Magnoliopsida; Fabales; Fabaceae. The record is from Rfam.
CAAAGACGGUGCUUACAUCAACAAUGUCUUUGAAAGUAGGCAUUCUAAGACGUUGCUAACGGAAGCACGGUCUUUGAAUGCCUACUUUCAAAGUCGGUGUUGAUGUAAGCACCGUCUUU